UUCCAAGACCCUCUUCCCCACCUGGAACCAGAUGCUGCUGUUAAAUGACUUGGUGCUUUAUGGAGACCAGAGGAGUUAAUGGAGUCCCUGCCUUUAGUGGUGGUGGAGCUGUAUGACAACAACACAGUGGUUGGGAAUCUCUUCAGACUUGCCUUCUGCAAAUCACUGGGUACGGAAACCUUACUGCAGUUGUGGAAAAACUGCACAGAAAAUCCUGUGAUUCUGAUAAUGCCCAACGUGAAGAAAUGCUUUUGAAGCAGAACCAGGACUCUCAGAUUGGUUCCCAAGGAACUUCCUUUGCUCCCAGACCAUGAAGUUCUCCCUCAUCUUGUCCCU
This is a long non-coding RNA of Balaenoptera ricei (Rice's whale), 336 nucleotides long. RefSeq lists it as uncharacterized. The transcript is spliced from 3 exons. The record is from RefSeq and is a predicted model, not a curated record. Lineage: Eukaryota; Metazoa; Chordata; Mammalia; Artiodactyla; Balaenopteridae.